Molecule: transfer RNA, 77 nt
Filed under: Fidelibacterota bacterium
Lineage: Bacteria; Pseudomonadati; Fidelibacterota
Description: tRNA-Asn
Rfam family: tRNA
About the family: Transfer RNA (tRNA) molecules are approximately 80 nucleotides in length.
Source: RNAcentral
UCCGGCAUAGCUCAGUUGGUUAGAGCAAUGGACUGUUAAUCCAUGUGUCCCUGGUUCGAGUCCAGGUGCCGGAGCAA